Molecule: long non-coding RNA, 469 nt
Filed under: Oryza sativa (Asian cultivated rice)
Lineage: Eukaryota; Viridiplantae; Streptophyta; Magnoliopsida; Poales; Poaceae
Description: long non-coding RNA (OSAT_LNC000482)
Source: RNAcentral
UUCUCCUGACGCCUAGCCAGUCUUUGACUUCUCUUCCCCAUGUUAGUUGGCUUGUUCCUCUACACUUUGCAAUUGAAAUAUGCCUGAUGUUCUCUGCAGUUUAGUUCAUUGAGCUAAUCCUCUUGCAGCAGGUUUGGUUCCUGAGAGAAACUCUGCAGUUAGCUGAUGAACACUUAGGAUUCAUCCCGAUGAACCAUGCAAGCCAAGAAUGAAAGAACAAAAGAAAUGAGAUUUUGCAGGAGCAAGAGAAGAUGAAAUGCAGCAAACUGGCAGCAUAAAACCAACAGGUUCCAGUGUUCUGUUAUUAAUUUGUGUACUGUCAAAACCAAGCAAAAUUAUCAAAGGAAGAUAUGCUAAAAACUCCUCAAAUCCACAGAUAUUGCUUCAUGCGAAACUUACGUGAUAACCGAGAGAUCGCAGGGAACUUCACCACUCUGAAGUCUGAACCAAGAAACCAGAUGAAGACGAG